GUCCGGGCGGAGCAGCGCUUGCUGAUGGUGGUUCCGCCGUGGGUUCCGGCUGUGGGUAAUUUAUACCCAACACCAGUCCCCCUACAUCCGAGUUUUGAAUUUCAAACGAAGGAAGUACACAGAAGUACAGCCGGAACCGUCCCUUCAAAUCCCGCGCCCUGCCGCUCCCAGAUAUCUUGGCAUUAAAUGAGCGCGUGCCGGAGUCUUUUCGAAUUGGGGCGGUACGAGGGGACGCUUCGAAGACCCCGCAGGUACGCUGUCUUAGGUACGGCGCAAUUAUGGCCCUGCCAACCGCCAGCCACCUUCAGCCGUCUGCCACGGAGGGUGGGACACGUGUCGGAUGCGGACUGGCCUGGGGGGAUUGGAGAUCAUUAUGGCGCCGGAUCCCAGGGUCUAUUUAAACCCAUCCUCCCCCCUUUUCUUUUCUUGUCGUUUUGUCCCUCUUUUUCUGGCCGUCCUAGCCCUGUAGCACAUAUAUUGGAAAUGAGAAAAAGGCAUUUUGUGUUACCUUGUCCGCGCGUAGCACUAAUAUUGUCGUUCGUUGACCCUUUCUCGUUGUUCGGCCUGUUUGGCUUAGAGGUCGCCGUGGGAAAGGGCUCUUCCCUUCCAUCCGAUCUCGUCAUGUGGCCGAGCCUCGCCACCGUUUUUAACCCUUGCUGGCGAAGUGGUGGAUGGAGCCUGGCUUUCUUAGGAGCCCGGGCGAAGUCUUUCUUGGGGGCGGAACCCGGCUCCCGUAGGAGUCCGGGUGAAGCUUUACCUGAUGACGGAACCCGGUUCCUGUAGGAGUCCGGGUGAAGCUUUACCUUGGCGGCGGAACCCGGCUCCCGUAGGAGUCCGGGUGAAGCUUUACCUAGGCGGCGGAACCUGGCUCCCGUAGGAGUCCGGGUGAAGCUUUACCUUGGCGGCGGAACCCGGCUCCCGU
Molecule: long non-coding RNA, 922 nt
Filed under: Elaeis guineensis (African oil palm)
Lineage: Eukaryota; Viridiplantae; Streptophyta; Magnoliopsida; Arecales; Arecaceae
Description: long non-coding RNA (EGUI_LNC024588)
Source: RNAcentral